ACCUGGCUUACACCGGUUUAAACUCAGAUCAUGUAAAAUUUUAAAGGUCGAACAGACCUACUUUGUUAGCUUCUGCACCAACAAUCUAUUUUAAUCCAACAUCGAGGUCGCAAUCUUUUUUUUUGAUAAGAACUCUAAAAAAAAUCACGCUGUUAUCCCUAAGGUAAUUUAAUCUUACAAUCUACAUUAUAGGAUCAUACAUACAUAAAUAAAUGAUAAUAUAGAAAAAAGUUUACUUAAUUUUUCCAUCACCCCAAUAAAAUAUUUUAUUCAUUAAAUAAUUAAUAAUCCUUUUUCUAUAUUUAAAUUUAAAACAUAAAACUCUAUAGGGUCUUCUCGUCUUCUAUACACAUUUAAGCUUUUUAACUUAAAAAUAAAAUUCUAAUUAAUUUUUACAGAGACAGAAAUUUUCUCAUCAAACCUUUCAUUCCAGCUUUUAAUUAAAAAACUAAUGAUUAUGCUACCUUUGCACGGUCAAUAUACCGCGGCCAUUAAAUUCAUCAUUGGGCAGGUCAAACUUAAAAUUAUAAUCAACAAGCC
Molecule: ribosomal RNA, 540 nt
Filed under: Trigonopterus sp. 588 MB-2015
Lineage: Eukaryota; Metazoa; Arthropoda; Insecta; Coleoptera; Curculionidae
Description: partial 16S ribosomal RNA
Source: RNAcentral